Non-coding RNA from Paramuricea clavata, 1289 nucleotides. The record is from the annotation of a GenBank genome assembly. NCBI's taxonomy places the organism in Eukaryota, Metazoa, Cnidaria, Anthozoa, Malacalcyonacea, Plexauridae.
CGCCAAGUUUACAUUUUUCGCGGGAAAGGAAGAUCAUUAGAUCAAAACAAUCCUGGCUUUUAAAGCGACCGGUCGAGUUUUAAAAAGGAGUCCAUUUUGUGAUCAUCUGUUCAAGUAUAAAGGUAAAUUGUCGGGGUCUUUUAUAUGUAGUUAAGAAAUGUUGGUUUUGUUGUAAAACACAAGUAAAUAUGAUAUAUUUUAAUGGGCCGAUCGCGCAGUAUUUUUACUACGUUGUAUUAAUGCCGCCACUUGAAAAGUUGUCUUGCGAAAGAAAAUUUACGGCAAUGCUGGGCAAGUUUAAACAUGUCUGAUCUCUUGUUAAAUUGAUGUGAAAAGUUUAGUGUAGGUAAAGCCACAAGGGAAGUAGAGAUCUUUGCAAAUUUUACGACGUAGUAUUAUAACGUGUGUCAUCACUGAAGUGUGAAAGCCAUUGACCUUCGCCUCACACGUACGCACAACUGAUCAAGUUUUCUGUAUAAACAAAAAUGUUUCCGUCUUUAUGUAGCUGUGUAAAAGAGCCGUUUGUGAAUCAUUGAAGAGAUUUUCCAAAGCCUUGUAUCCAGGAAAGAAGUAAUUUGGUAACUCGGGGCUUUCUUAAAGCGGUUGUGUCAAUUCAGCUAUUUCCUUUCAAAUUUCAAAAGACCUGCUGAAACUUCACAGGAGGAGGCAUUUCAAGUGCUAAAAAUGAGCUCAAAAGACGAUCAGAAGUCAACGGGAAAAUCCACACUAUCAGACGAUGAAAAAAAGAGCUCGAAAGCAACAGGAUUGACAGAAGAAAAUGCAAACAUUUGUAAAGAAAUCGGACAAAUACUUUCACGAGUUGGGGAUGAAUUCGAGCGGUGUUUUACUGUUUUUCGUCCAGACCUGUAACAAGGCAGAAAAAGAACAGUACGGACUAUAAAAAACAGUGGAGCGUUAAAUACAUGCCAUCAAUUGUAUAUAUGUACAUACAACAAACCUUUUGUGUGAGAAUAGUUAUUUUAUAGAGUUUUGAAAUAUUUAUAUAAUGGGGAUUCAUAUUAAUAAUGGCUUCAUAUUAAUAAUGGCUAAUACUGUACCGCGAGUAGGACGCAGAAAAAAAAUUACGUAGUUUAGAAAUUUUCUGACUUGAAAGUUGCUUUCAAAGUUUUCACAAUUGUAUAUAGCCUGUAAAAAGAACGAUUUUGUAAAAUUCUAGUUUAAAAAAGACAUUUGCUGGACAAAAAUAAAACUUUAUAGAUACGGAAAAAAUAGCGCCUUUGUAGGACCAAAUAUUUGUAUAUAAAAACAAUUGAUAUUAAUAAACAAAG